UACGUAGGGUGCAAGCGUUGUCCGGAAUUAUUGAGCGUAAAGAGCUCGUAGGCGGUUUGUCGCGUCUGCUGUGAAAACUCGGGGCUUAACCCCGGGCCUGCAGUGGGUACGGGCAGACUAGAGUGCGGUAGGGGAGACUGGAAUUCCUGGUGUAGCGGUGAAAUGCGCAGAUAUCAGGAGGAACACCGGUGGCGAAGGCGGGUCUCUGGGCCGAUACUGACGCUGAGGAGCGAAAGCGUGGGGAGCGAACAGG
Molecule: ribosomal RNA, 253 nt
Filed under: uncultured bacterium
Lineage: Bacteria
Description: partial 16S ribosomal RNA
Rfam family: Bacterial small subunit ribosomal RNA
Source: RNAcentral